Molecule: ribosomal RNA, 404 nt
Filed under: uncultured bacterium
Lineage: Bacteria
Description: bacterial SSU rRNA
Rfam family: Bacterial small subunit ribosomal RNA
Source: RNAcentral
UUAUCCGGAAUGAUUGGGCAUAAAGGGUGCGUAGGUGGCAGAACAAGUCUGGAGUAAAAGGUAUGGGCUCAACCCGUACUGGCUCUGGAAACUGUUCAGCUAGAGAACAGAAGAGGACGGCGGAACUCCAUGUGUAGCGGUAAAAUGCGUAGAUAUAUGGAAGAACACCGGUGGCGAAGGCGGCCGUCUGGUCUGUUGCUGACACUGAAGCACGAAAGCGUGGGGAGCAAAUAGGAUUAGAUACCCUAGUAGUCCACGCCGUAAACGAUGAGAACUAGGUGUUGGGGGAAUAACUCAGUGCCGCGGUUAACGCAAUAAGUUCUCCGCCUGGGGAGUAUGCACGCAAGUGUGAAACUCAAAGGAAUUGACGGGGGCCCGCACAAGCGGUGGAGUAUGUGGUUUAA